GGGCUCCAGCAGCCCAUAUAUAAAAUUGGACGAUACAGAGAAGAUUAGCACGGCCCCUGUGCGAGGAUGACAUGCAAAUUCGUGAAACAUUCCAUAUUUUA
RNAcentral lists this small nuclear RNA (101 nucleotides) under Jaculus jaculus (lesser Egyptian jerboa). The record is from RNAcentral. Lineage: Eukaryota; Metazoa; Chordata; Mammalia; Rodentia; Dipodidae.